ACUACUACUACUACUACUACGGCUGGGUCGAUAUGAACCGAUAUAUUUAGUAUAUUUAACUAUGAACAUUUGACAUACUGAAUAAUACAUUGAUGAAAUGCUUCGACAAACAUCAAGCACCUCCUCUAUUUAUUGAGAAGACAUAGUGCCAUAACAUCAAAGUCUAGACUUUGUUCAUCUACAUCGAAAGGUAAACAAUCAACAGUCCCACAGCAGCCAGUGGGAUUCAGAUGUUAGUCAUGACAUCGUAUCCG
Long non-coding RNA from Macrobrachium nipponense, 254 nucleotides. RefSeq lists it as uncharacterized. The transcript is spliced from 3 exons. The record is from RefSeq and is a predicted model, not a curated record. Lineage: Eukaryota; Metazoa; Arthropoda; Malacostraca; Decapoda; Palaemonidae.